GAUGAACGCUGGCGGCGUGCCUAAUACAUGCCAGUCGAGCGAACGGACGAGAAGCUUGCUUCUCUGAUGUUAGCGGCGGACGGGUGAGUAACACGUGGAUAACCUACCUAUAAGACUGGGAUAACUUCGGGAAACCGGAGCUAAUACCGGAUAAUAUUUUGAACCGCAUGGUUCAAAAGUGAAAGACGGUCUUGCUGUCACUUAUAGAUGGAUCCGCGCUGCAUUAGCUAGUUGGUAAGGUAACGGCUUACCAAGGCAACGAUGCAUAGCCGACCUGAGAGGGUGAUCGGCCACACUGGAACUGAGACACGGUCCAGACUCCUACGGGAGGAAGCAGUAGGGAAUCUUCCGCAAUGGGCGAAAGCCUGACGGAGCAACGCCGCGUGAGUGAUGAAGGUCUUCGGAUCGUAAAACUCUGUUAUUAGGGAAGAACAUAUGUGUAAGUAACUGUGCACAUCUUGACGGUACCUAAUCAGAAAGCCACGGCUAACUACGUG
This 497-nucleotide ribosomal RNA is filed under the name uncultured bacterium. RNAcentral describes it as "partial 16S ribosomal RNA". It matches the Rfam family "Bacterial small subunit ribosomal RNA", at positions 28 to 507 of the family's 1533-position model. The record is from RNAcentral.